UCAGGAUGAACGCUAGCUACAGGCUUAACACAUGCAAGUCGUGGGGCAGCAUGGAGGUUGCUUGCAAUCUCUGAUGGCGACCGGCGCACGGGUGAGUAACGCGUAUCCAACCUGGCCCUUAGUAGGGGAUAGCCCGGCGAAAGUCGGAUUAAUACCCUAUGUUCUUCAUGGAUGGCAUCUGAUAGUGAAGCAAAGGCUUGCCGCUAAGGGAUGGGGAUGCGUCUGAUUAGCUUGUCGGCGGGUAACGGCCACCGAGGCUACGAUCAGUAGGGGUUCUGAGAGGAAGGUCCCCCACAUUGGUACUGAGACACGGACCAAACUCCUACGGGAGGCAGCAGUGAGGAAUAUUGGUCAAUGGGCGAGAGCCUGAACCAGCCAAGUAGCGUGCCAGGACGACUGCCCUAUGGGUUGUAAACUGCUUUUAUGCGGGAAUAAAGUCAGGUACGUGUACCUGUUUGUAUGUACCGCAUGAAUAAGGACCGGCUAAUUCCGUGCCAGCAGCGGC
This 505-nucleotide ribosomal RNA is filed under the name uncultured bacterium. Its description in RNAcentral is "bacterial SSU rRNA". It matches the Rfam family "Bacterial small subunit ribosomal RNA", at positions 24 to 518 of the family's 1533-position model. The record is from RNAcentral.